GCAGGCUCACCUUAAAAUCUGGGGGGAAAAUCAACUUAAAACUAGAGGCUAAGUUACAAACAGAAAUGAAGCCAAGUUGUGAUCACGAUGACUCACACAGGUUAAAAGAUCUGUUGCUCCACUCAGCAUUAUGGACCCAGGAAAUCAGCAACUAAGGAACAACUGCAAACUUUGAAGUCAGUAAGGACCCAGGAAAUUAGAAGCUAAGGGAUCGUGACCUUUGAAGUAAAUAAAUCUUGCCUGUAUACUAAUUUCAGAGGAUAAAAAC
This 268-nucleotide long non-coding RNA is filed under the name Pan troglodytes (chimpanzee). Its description in RNAcentral is "long non-coding RNA NONPTRT012212". Lineage: Eukaryota; Metazoa; Chordata; Mammalia; Primates; Hominidae. The record is from RNAcentral.